AGGAAUCUAACAGGCUCGCUCGGUCGAGUUCACUCAGUUGAGCGUCGGUUGCGCUCCUCGAUUUUGGGGCGUGACAAACUGUUUGAUUGUGAGCUUGAUUUGCUGAUCUCUGUCUCGAUACAGUUGAAGCUGAGCUCCAAUUUGUAGAUUUCGCUUUUCUUUGGCUGCUGUCCGAGUUUGUUUUGUUCCAGCUUCUAAACUAGCCGAGUUCCAAAUUUCGAUUUUGGGCCUUUAUUUGGCAAGUUCUGCUUCUAGACUAAGCUCAUGUUUAGGUAUGUAGCUAAAAUUCAAGUUCAAAUCUCCAUAUCUGUUCUAAUGUGAAAUCCUGAUUGUUUUUGUUUUUAGAUUCUUCUUUAAUUUUGUUUGAAUUCAUUGGUUCUAUGUUAAUGCUGGCAUGACAUAAAUGCAGUGUGUUUUGAUAUGAAAUCAUGAUUGUUUUCCUUUUGAAUCUUUUGUUGUGUUAUGGCUUAUGGGUUUUUGAUUUAGUUUAGCAUAAGUGUGGAGUGUUGGGAAUUUGAUAAGCAUGAUUGAGCUUGAUUUUUAUGAAAUACAGUUAAUCUAGUUUGAUUUGCUUCUAAUACUUUAUUUGGCAUCUCACAUGUUUGAGGAGGAAAAAAUGUAAAGUGAACAGGUCCAAGGAUUAUGAACUGUGGACGAAAGCUGAAAAGCAGCGUUUUUUUUUCCCAGAAGAAUCGAAACUUAUAGCUAUUAGUCAAGUGUAAACUAGGAACUGAUUCUUGUGUUUAAAUUCGAGUUAUGAUCUAGAUGAUGUAUCUUGUUUGUAAGUUCUGAGAUUUAAUUUACUUUUAAAUGUCGAAUGCCAGCACUGAAUUAACAUUCCUCUCAUAACUAAAUUUCUGGUAGUAUGGACUUUUGAAUAUGCAUGUUAAUUCAUCAAA
Nicotiana tabacum (common tobacco) is the source of this 899-nucleotide non-coding RNA. The record is from RefSeq and is a predicted model, not a curated record. Lineage: Eukaryota; Viridiplantae; Streptophyta; Magnoliopsida; Solanales; Solanaceae.